RNA transcript from Nilaparvata lugens (brown planthopper), 8960 nucleotides. It is a transcript of the gene named probable chitinase 10, with no coding region annotated. The transcript is spliced from 45 exons. Lineage: Eukaryota; Metazoa; Arthropoda; Insecta; Hemiptera; Delphacidae. The record is from RefSeq and is a predicted model, not a curated record.
UUCACCAGUAGCUCUCAGACCCGAUCAACUUGUCUUUAAGUUAGGAGGUGUUUAGCUCCUUAAAUUAUUUUAUACUCUUAAGGACCAUCAGAAAAGGACCCGUUUUGUGUCCUUAAGGAUCUCCCCCCAAGGACGCAGCCCCGGUCGGGGUUAUAAGGUUAAGCAAUGUCACAUCCUAACCUUCUUCUACUGCUAACUUUAGUUGGCAGUUUACUAUCAGUGGUAACAACUUUCCGACGCGAUAAUGUCGAAUACAGGCCACCAGCAGGGUUGCCAACCCACGAACAGCAGAUGACAAAAGCGGCGUUGCCAAAUCUACACCGUUACUCGAUAGCCCAGCGGUUGGGAGCUAGACCGAGAUUUGGCAGCACUGCACUGCCCUUGAGACAGGCGGUGGAAAGGGUGCCUUCACCUACUGAGAGGGCUGAAGAACACUUUCCCAUAAGAGACGCUGUGGAACAGAGACCAGUUUUGGCUGUUACCCCACUGGGACAAUGGUGGAACCAUCGUAUGGCGCCUCCUCAAACAACAAUUCAAGCAUCUAAACCGUUUUCUGAAGAAUACCAGAGAGUUUCGCCGCUAGCUGUGGACAAAUCGGUGUACUGUUUCGUGGAGUCGUGGUCGGUGUAUAGGAGGGCACCCAUGUCCUUCUCGGCCGACCACAUCGACCCACACCUGUGCACUCACCUGGUCUAUGCCUUCGCCAAGAUAGAUGCCAACACUCACAAGUUGACACCUGUCGAUGAGGAGUAUGACAUUGUCAAAGGUGGCUACCGUUCAGUAGUAUUCCUGAAACGUCUGAACCCCCGACUGAAGGUGCUUCUCUCAGUGGCGGGGCCAUUCAACGGUAUGACGUCAUCAGCCAAUCGACGCACCUUCAUAUCGUCUACAGUGCGCAUGCUCCACGAAUACAACUUUGACGGGUUGGAUCUACAUUGGCAGUUGCCUGAACUGGAGGGCACAACCCCGUCUGACCCCCCGACCAGGUCACCCGCCGACCCCUCCACCUUGACCCGGCUGCUAGAGGAGAUGUCACCUGUGUUCGAGUCACGAGCAUGGACUCUCACUCUCUCUCUCACAGGGUCUCGCUUCCAAGCCGAAGACAUCUAUCCCAACGAUAUGCAACAGGUGACAACCCACUUGACACAUUUGCUACUGAAAAGCUACGACCUGCACGGUGAGAGAGGGAAGGAAGGUCAAGAAGGAGGGGUAGCCGUGCAUCAUGCCCCCCUCCAGGCACCCCCGCCCACACAAGAUGCCCUCGCUCUGUUCUUCAAUGUCGACUAUGCAGUGCGGUAUUGGUUGAAGAGGGGUGUGCCAAGACAUAAGCUGAUCAUGGGAAUCCCACUCUAUGCCAGGACUUACACACUCAAGGAUGCUAACCAGUGGCAACCUGGUUCUUCGGUACUAUCAGGCGGCUCGGAAUCACGUUACACCCAACAACCAGGUAUCUUGGCCUAUUACGAAGUAUGUGAAAAGUUGGUGGAAGGUGAUGACGCCAUCCGAGACACUAGUGACGUCACCAAUGAUGACAUCACACGAGACAGCUAUGAUAUCACCAGUGAUGACGUCACUAAGGGUGAUGAUGACGUGACUAAGGAUAAAGAAGACGUCACACAGCCGUGGAGAUUGUUCAGAGACCAGGGCAAUGCCCCGUUUAUGGUGCGUGGUGACCAGUGGGUCGGGUAUGAGGACCCGCUCAGUGUACAGACUAAGAUGCGCUACAUCAACCAGCAAAAACUGGGUGGAGUCAUGGUAUGGGCUCUGGAUCUGGACGAUUUCCAAGGCAUGUACUGCGGACGCAAGUAUCCACUGCUCAAUGCCAUCAACGACCAUUUGCACGCAUUUGAUUGGCCGCUGGCCGUGCACCAGCCGUCAUUGGUCAGUGUGGGACAAGCUCCGCCCACUUUUGCUCAGGCUCCGCCCACCUAUGUGCAAGCUCCGCCUACUUUUGUGCAAGCGGUGUCAAUAUUGCCUCACAGUAACCCUUUACAGCAGUCAGGGGGCGUGGCUUCGAAUGCUGAGGGCCAAUCAGAGGUCUCCGUUUCGGCCAGCAGCCAAUCAGAAGUGAGUGCUGCUCCCUAUGUGCUGUCUACACCGCACGACGGCAGCUGCCGCUAUGGACAGCACGGAUUUGAGCGGACAAACACUGGUCAUGGUUAUAGAAAGCACAAGUUUGAGACGUCAAGACAGUACGAUUAUGAGCAGAGACAGGAAGUGGUUGAUUCUUAUAAACAGCACAAGUAUGAGCCGGUGAAUGGGUAUCAGGCUUAUAGACAGCACGAUAAUGAGGAAAGACAGGAAGUGGUUGAUUCAUAUGGAGAGCACGAUUCUGAGCAGACAAGACGGGGAAAUGUCUAUAGACAGCACGAUAAUGAGCUGGAAUAUUCGGAUUGCACUCAUAUUUUCUACAGAUGUGACCAUCUAAUGAUGCAUAGAUAUCUGUGUCCUAUUGGGAGUGCAUAUGAGCCAGCAUUGGGGAAAUGCAGUGUGAAAUGUUCAGAACAAAAGCUGGAAGAAAUCAACAACACCACCACUUUACAAAAAGCCGAAUUGAGGAAAAAGCCUAAUCAUAACGCCGUUGGUGACAAACAAGAACCGUCAGGCCCCAGAGUGGUGUGCUACUUCACAAAUUGGGCCUGGUACAGGAAGGGAGACGGCAAAUUCUUGCCGGAGCAUAUAGAGCCUUCGCUCUGCACUCACAUCAUAUACGCUUUCGCCUCUCUCGAUCCAAACGAUUUGACACUCAAACCGUUCGAUAGCUGGUCGGAUAUCGAUAAUAACCUGUUUGCGCGCGUAGUUGCCCGUGCCGCCGGCAGUGGCGCUAGUGUGCUGCUCUCGAUGGGCGGCUGGACGGACUCGGCUGGCAGCAAGUACUCGCAGCUGGUUGCAGACAAAGGUAACCGGCGCCGAUUCGUCGCAGACUGUGUGCAGACACUGCGCCGACACUCGUUCGACGGUCUGCAGCUGGACUGGAACUAUCCUGUGUGCUGGCAGAGCAACUGUAAGAAGGGGCCGGCCGCCGAUAAGGCUAACUUUGCCAAGUUUGUGCAGGAGCUGCGCCAAGCUUUCGACAAGGAAAAGCCUCGCCUGCAGUUGUCAAUCGCCAUAUCCGGUUACCGUGAGAUAGUGGACAGGGCCUACGACAUGCGCGCUCUCUCUCAACACGCCGACUUCGUCAAUGUGAUGAGCUUCGACUAUCAUGGCGCCUGGGAGCAUGAGACGGGCCAUGUCGCUCCACUCUAUCCCACUGCUGGCGAAAUGUUCCCUGAUUACAAUGUGGAUUCGACAGUGAAACACCUGAUUGAGCUGGGAGCCGAUAGGUCGAAACUGGUGGUUGGAAUCCCCUUCUACGGCCAGUCAUUCACUCUGGCCGCACCUGAUAAGGGAAAUGGGCUUGGAGAGGAGACUGUCGACCCGGGAGAGAGCGGGGAGUUCACUAAACAACCCGGCAUGUUGGCUUAUUACGAGAUAUGCUAUAAAAUUUCGAAACAGAACUGGAAAGCGGAGACAUCGGACGUGGGUCCCUAUGCAUAUUCGGGGGACCAGUGGGUCAGCUACGACGAUCCCACCUCUAUUAAACAGAAGGCGAAAUACAUAUUAACCGAGAAGCUAGGCGGUGCCAUGGCGUGGACUAUAGACCUGGAUGACUUUCACAACCGCUGCUGUAAGGGCCACACCUUUCCGCUGCUGAGGGCCCUGAAUUCAGGGCUGGGCCGCAUUAAGGGCCCCGUAACCUCUACACAGGACUGCACCAAACCUACUCUGCCCUCCACACCUCCGCCCGUCUUAACCACCCUUACACCUGACAAUGGCCUAGUAAGCCCAGAAGCUACCUCAGAAAUGAGCUCCAGUUCUACCACUACAACCACACAAUCUUGGUGGACUGAGGAACCAUCGACCAGUAGUACCACCACAACAAAACCAACAACCAGUGAUACCACCACUACAAAGCCAAUUACCUCUAAUCCAACAACCAGUAGUACCACCACCACCACCACAGAAGAAGAACCGGAAACCACAGAUGAAGAGGAACCGGAAGAGGAAACCACCACCAGUACUACCACCACAACCACCACUAGAAGGCCAACCACAAAGAGGCCCAAACCUACUAGACCGAAGCCUACUAAGCCUAGGCCUAGUAGCACUACUAGUAAGCCUUCUAGUAAGCCUACUAGGCCCAGUAAGCCGAAACCCCCACCUCUACCACCGCCCACACUGCACCCAGCGAGGAAGUUGGAGCAACAGAGCUGCCUUCGUCUUGUACGAGUGGCGAAUACGGGCUGUAUUCUGGGCGAAUUCAGGAGGCAGAGAUGUGCGGCAGUCUGCACUGGAACAGCAAACUGCAAGUGUGCGACUGGCCACAGCAGGCUAAAUGCCAAACUAAACCAGGUCAUAUAGAAAGCAGCACAUCCACGUCGACCACUGAACGACCCGACGAAUGGUGGACCCAAUCCUCGUCCACAUGGUGGUCACCUGAGUUGACUACACCACCGCACCAUACCACCACCACCAGCACCACCUCGACACCAUGGUGGACACCACCAGAGCACCACUUGGUGGCCUACUAGUAGCAGCACCACCACCACUCACAAGCCAAGUAGCUCUACUAAGAGACCUGCCACCAUAAGAGGCCCAAGCCUAGCAGACCUAGUAGCAAGCCUACUCAUAGACCUCUAGCCUAGCACCACUACAACGGAGGCCCCACCACCAAGUCCCCCCGAGGCAUGUACUGACGGCCAGUACUACCCAGUGAGGGAGGCUUGUGACCAAUACGAGGUGUGCGUCAACGGUCAGCUGUUGCGGCUAAGAUGUGCUCCCGGCCUGCUAUUUAAUCACGUGAUUGGAGUUUGCGACUGGGCUCAUAAUGUUCAGUGCCAUGCAUCACAAAGGAUGGAGCUGGAAUGGAGUCGCAAAUCAGCUGGUUGUUCCAAAGGCCAGUUCACAGCGCAUCCGUCCAAUUGCAACCAGUACUUGCAAUGCCAGUGGGGAGCCUAUCAGAUAUACAGCUGUCCCCCUGGGCUGCAUUGGAAUGCGAAAAACAACAUCUGCGACUGGCCCUCUCGCUCUACGUGCCGUGUGACGUCACCCUCCAAUCCACAGGGCGGCAGUAAACCCGACAAUAAACCACCCUCAGGUAGCAGUAAACCGGUUUCGCUGGCCACCACCAGCACAAACAGACCCGAAUGGGAAUGGAAACCGGACCCCACAAGCACCAGCAACCCCCAGUGGGAGUGGAAACCGGAAACCACCCCUAAACCCAAGCCAAUUCCCAACAAACCCAGCAAGCCCAGCGGCAAGCAUCCACUGGCUAACGGUCCGUUCAAGGUAGUGUGUUACUUCACGAAUUGGGCAUGGUAUAGGACAGGCCCCGCCAAAUAUCUGCCAGAGGAUAUAGACACCAACCUGUGCACCCAUGUGCUGUAUGGAUUUGCUGUACUGGACUUUGAAAAUCUCAUCAUAAAGGCACAUGACUCGUGGGCUGAUUUCGAUAAUAAGUUCUACGAGCGUGUGGUGGCCAUGAAAAAGAAGGGUGUCCAUGUUCUGUUGGCGAUUGGAGGCUGGAACGACUCCCAGGGGGACAAGUACUCGCGAUUAGUUAACAGUGCCGCCUCUAGACAGCGCUUCAUACAACAUGUCGUUCCAUUCCUCUUGAAAUACGACUUUGAUGGACUGGAUCUGGAUUGGGAGUACCCCAAGUGCUGGCAGGUGAACUGUGACAAAGGCCCCGCAUCGGACAAGGAGAGCUUCGGACUUUUUGUGAAAGAACUGAAAACUGCUUUCAGAUCUCACGACCUCCUACUGUCAGCCGCCGUGUCUCCCAGCAAGGCUGUUAUCGACGAGGGUUACGAUGUGAAAACAAUGGCGAAAUAUCUGGAUUGGAUAUCGGUGAUGACAUAUGACUACCACGGGCAAUGGGAUAAGAAGACCGGUCAUCUGGCUCCCAUGUAUUACCAUCCUGAGGAUGAUUUCGACUAUUUCAAUGCGUGUAUAAGCCAGUAUCUAUUGUAAUCUACAUAAAUCAACUACUGGCUGUCUGAGGGCGUGCCCAAGCACAAGCUGGUGAUGGGCAUGCCCCUGUACGGGCAGUCGUUCACACUGGCCAAACGAGAGCAGCAUGGGCUGAAUGCGCCCGCCCCGGGGCCAGGCCAGGCGGGCGAGUCGACCAGGGCUGCUGGGUUCCUAGCCUACUAUGAGAUUUGUUCCCGAAUCAAAAAUGGCGGCUGGACAGUGGUACAGGACGAGGAACAAAGGAUGGGUCCUUAUGCCUACAACGGCGACCAGUGGAUAUCCUUCGACGAUAAGGACACCAUCAGGCGAAAGUCGGAAUGGAUUAGAGAAAUGGGCAUCGGAGGAGGAAUGAUAUGGGCUCUGGACUUGGACGAUUUCAGGAACACAUGUGGAGGGGGGAAGCAUCCUUUGCUCACCAUUAUUGCUAAGACUCUGGCUAAACCAGGACAAGAGUGGAGGUGGUAUGGCAACCCCUACCCCAGCAAUUACCACCACACCCCUGAACCUUCAGAACAAACUACCCUGGAAAGCAGUGGAGCUGCAACUACACCCAUCCACCCGGCGACCCCGCCCGACGUCGCUGAACCGGAGAAGCCCACACAACCGACUAGCACAACUACUGAGGAAACAGAAGAGGUGGAGGGGACAACUGAGGACGAAUUGGAAGAGGAGACGACAACAACUUCGACAACAACAAGCACAACAACUAAGCGACCGAGACCGGCCAAACCGGGCAAACCCAGCAAACCUAAACCGAAACCCAAGCCUAAACCCACCAGUACAACCACACAGAAACCCAAACCCGAAAUGGAGGACCAUUUCAAGGUGGUCUGCUACUUCACUAAUUGGGCCUGGUAUAGGCAAGGAGAAGGCAAAUACCUACCAAGUGACAUAGACCCUGAGCUGUGUACACAUAUAAUCUAUGGAUUCGCAGUUUUGGAUUCGGAUCAUCUCACUAUCAAACCACACGAUACUUGGGCUGAUUUCGAUAAUAAAUUCUAUGAGAAAGUUAUAGCUGUGAAAAAGAAGAAGAGCAACAUAAAGGUGUUGAUAGCGAUUGGCGGCUGGAACGACUCGGCCGGAGACAAGUACUCACGUCUGGUUAACAGUGCUGCCGCUAGACAGCGCUUCGUACAGCAUGUCCUAGAAUUUAUACAGGAGCAUGGAUUUGAUGGACUGGAUUUGGACUGGGAGUACCCCAAGUGCUGGCAGGUGAAUUGUCAGCAAGGCCCAGAUUCGGACAAGGAGUCUUUCGCGGCGUUUGUGAAAGAAUUGCACAAAGCAUUCCAACCUCAUGGUCUGCUGCUAUCAGCUGCCGUGUCGCCCAGUCGAACUGUCAUUACUGCCGGUUACGACGUGAAAGCGCUCUCUAAAUACUUGGAUUGGAUCUCUGUGAUGGCGUACGACUACCACGGUCAGUGGGACAAGGUGACCGGGCAUGUGGCACCCAUGUACGCGCACCCUGAGGAUGAUGACGUCACUUUCAACACGAACUUUACGAUGCACUACUGGAUGCGGCAGGGCGCGGACAGACGCAAACUGAUAGUGGGCAUGCCGAUGUACGGACAGUCGUUCAGUCUGGCCUCCACCGAGGACAAUGGCCUCAAUGCACCCACCUAUGGCGGGGGGGAGGCCGGCGAGCAGACCAGGGCCAGGGGAUUCCUCGCUUACUAUGAGAUCUGCCAGCGCACCCUGAAGCAGGGCUGGGAGGUGGUUAGGGACGAGGAGGGCCGAAUUGGGCCCUAUGCCCGGCUGAGGGAUCAGUGGGUGUCGUUUGAUGACCAAGCCAUGAUAGCCUACAAGUCCAACUAUGUCAAGCGCAACGAUUUCGGGGGUGCCAUGAUAUGGGCUCUCGAUUUGGAUGAUUUCAGGAAUUUGUGUGGAUGUGAAGAGUACCCGCUGCUGAAAACCAUCAACAGGGUGCUCCGUAAUUACCUGGUGUUCAGCCCGAGUGCAGGCUUAGCCCGGCACAGGACGGAGAUAAUGCAGAGUCAGCUGUUACCGAGUUCCCCGAGAGAAAUAACGAGGUGGAGGGGGCAUCUGAAAUGUCAAACGAGGAGGACACACUCCCCGAGUGUGUGAACGGAGUGAUGGCGCAUCCUGGUGACUGCAACAAGUACUACUCGUGUUGGAACAACGGCCAGAGUCGGACACAGCUCAACUGUCCUCAGGGACUGCAUUUCGAUUCGGUGCGCAACAUAUGCGAAUGGCCCGAUAAGGCAGUGUGCUGGAAUUCGGCCAAAUCGAGACUGCAACACCAGGAGGACGAGCAAACCAGUCUGGCUUUCCAGGGGACGGGACCCGCUUCCUAUUUCGCUGGGAAAUUCCCUUGGAGCAGUUUACAACAAGGAAUACCAGUUUGGUUUGCCAGGAUUUAAAACUUUAAGAAACUGACUCUGGAUAUAAAUCAAUAACAGAUGGAAAAUGGAAUCUCAACCAUUACAAAAUGGAUAAUGGAAUUUAAAGCGUUAUACAAAGGAUAUAACGGAAAUCAAACCAUCAUGCUGGUUCUCAACUAAUGGAAUUCACAUAAAUAUAUCUUUAUGAUAAAAUCCAUUUUAUGGUUAAUAGAGAAUCUAAAAUGAAAAAAAUCUUUCUACUAUGAAUGCAUAUUAAUUCUAUUAUGACUUCAUGGAGUUUAACUGUUUUAGAUUAAUGUUAAUAACACUGUUGAUUAUCUAUGAAGAAAUGUUGACGAGUCGUCAAUAUUGUAAAAAAUUGAUAUCAAAAUGAAAAUAAAUAGAUGAGAGUUGUCAAAUAAAUAUGAAACAGUGAGAAAUCCUUAACGAGGAAAAAAUUAAGAAAAUUCUAAUUAUGAUGUAAGUAUUCAAUAUUUUUUAUACAAUCUUGUAAUUGCUCAAAUUGAAAUAGUUUUGUUGUAAUAGUAAUUAUUUAUGUGCCAUAUUUUAUUGAAAUGUAGUUGAGAAAAUAUGAAUUUUGCUACAAAA